GUCCAUUCCACUGCAGUAACUACGGUGGAAGACAGAGCCACACGGCGGCAGGCUAAAACCAGAUUAAGGUGUGUGACUGCGAGGCUGCAAGGCUCCAAGGGAGACGUCUGAGAUAAAAAAAAAAAAUUAAAUAAUAAUAAUAAAAUGGAGAUGAGCCAGUUGGAGGCAUCCAAUUUCAUACUGCUGUAAUAUCUGCAUUCAGUAGAUGCAUCACUACGUACGUAGCUGGCUUGCUAAACCAAGUUAAAGAUACAAUGUCAUGUCUUUGACUUCGCCUGGCUGUAUUUCAAGUGUAUUUCAAGGCUAGGCACAAUGAAUAUUCAUAUAUAAAUUUUAUGUUUAUAUAUUUGACCACUUCGUUAGAGAAGAGCUUUCUCUUACAGAGCUCAUGUCUUAUGGAAUCAUUUCCCUUUUACAUGUUUGGGCCUAAGAUGCACUGUUUUUAAGUGUAGGCUCAAAGUGUAGGCUCAAAACAUAACUAUUUAGUCAAUUGUUUUGUUUAAAGAUGUCUAGGAAGGGUAAUUCAGGACCACAGAGCUGUUAUGUGAGCUGGCUGACUGUACUGUUGCCAUGUCACUGCAUGUGGACAGUCAGGUUUGCUGUUCUGUGCCUUGUUGGGGUACUAUCUGUUCAGGAUCACUCUCAUGGUUGUAUACACCCCAUUUCUUCAUAACUUUUAGGUAUGCUGCCAUAGCAUAGCACACUGGGGUUUUUCCACAUUACACUCAGGCUUCUACAUAUGCAACAGUUAAUCUCAUAAUUAUAGAGUGCCUAAUCCUUCUUCUCUUCUCGGGGGUUUUUGCCCCUUUACCCACCCUGAGUUUCCUCAUCACAGGUUCAAGCCCAAUGCCAUGACGCAACCGGGAGGCCUAGAUGCACCACCCUGGUUCCUCCUGAGAUUUAUUCCCACAUGGGAGUUUUUUCCUUGAUAACAUUUGUGUGUGUUUUAUUACCACUGGGGAGUUUUAUUUUAACCUCUAUUUUUGCUCGCUUUUUGAGGGCUCAGGUUUCAUAUUCUGCCCAAUUUUCUUCUGCAUUUUCCACCGUAAAGCGUCUUUGUGACAGUGUCUCUGUGAAGAGUGUUAUAAAAAUAAAAUAAAAUUGAAUUGAA
This is a long non-coding RNA of Anguilla anguilla (European eel), 1111 nucleotides long. RefSeq lists it as uncharacterized. The transcript has 2 exons. Lineage: Eukaryota; Metazoa; Chordata; Actinopteri; Anguilliformes; Anguillidae. The record is from RefSeq and is a predicted model, not a curated record.